AAGUUGCAUGAAAUGUAAAUGGCAAGGAAUGAUAAAUGACUAAAAUUUAAAUUGCAUAAAGUAAAUGACUUGAAAGUAAAAGUAUAAUGAAUAAGAGUUAGUCAAUGGCUAGUCAAAUGUUAGUGUUGAGUUUUAAUUGAUUAAGUCAUUCUUUGGAGAACACUCAACCAUUCAUACAUAAGUAUGAAUCCUUAAACCAAG
Molecule: long non-coding RNA, 201 nt
Filed under: Lathyrus oleraceus (garden pea)
Lineage: Eukaryota; Viridiplantae; Streptophyta; Magnoliopsida; Fabales; Fabaceae
Description: Pisum sativum (pea) long non-coding RNA (PSAT_LNC020143)
Source: RNAcentral